Molecule: ribosomal RNA, 1802 nt
Filed under: human gut metagenome
Description: bacterial LSU rRNA
Rfam family: Bacterial large subunit ribosomal RNA
Source: RNAcentral
GUAUCCAUACAUAAGUAAAGUAGUGUAUGAGAGGGGAACGUUGGGAACUGAAACAUCUGAGUACCAACAGGAAGAGAAAGAAAACAAUCGAUUCCUAGAGUAGUGGCGAGCGAAAUAGGAAGAGCCUAAACCAGAAGUAGUAAUACAUCUGGGGUUCGGACCACGAUAUAUUAUCAACAAUUCUAAUAGAAAUGUUUUGGGAAAGCAUACCAUAGAAGGUGAAAGUCCGGUAUAUGAAAGGAAAGUUGAGGUUAGUGGAUUCCAGAGUAGUACGAGACACGAGAAAUCUCGUAUGAAUGAGCGGGGACCAUCCCGUAAGGCUAAAUACUACUUGGUGACCGAUAGUGAACUAGUACCGUGAGGGAAAGGUGAAAAGAACACCGGGAGGGGAGUGAAAUAGAACAUGAAACCCUAUGUUUACAAGCAGACAAAGCACUUUAUAUGUGCGAUGUCGUACUUUUUGUAGAACGGUCCAGCGAGUUAUUGUAUAUGGCAAGGUUAAGUACUAUGUAAGGUACGGAGCCGAAGCGAAAGCGAGUCUGAAAAGGGCGACUUAAGUCAUAUAUAAUAGACCCGAAACUGAGUGACCUAUCCAUGAGCAGGAUGAAGCAAGAGUAAAAUCUUGUGGAGGUCCGAACUGAUUGUCGUUAAAAAGGCACCGGAUGACUUGUGGAUAGCGGAGAAAUUCCAAUCGAACUCAGAGAUAGCUGGUUCUCCUCGAAAUAGCUUUAGGGCUAGCCUUGAGGUUAAAGCAUAUGGGGGUAGAGCACUGAAUGAGGUAGGGGCCUAACCAGGUUACCAAACUCUAUCAAACUCCGAAUACCAUAUAUUAAUACUCAGGAGUCAGACUGCGGGAGCUAAGUUCCGUGGUCAAAAGGAAAACAGUCCAGAUCGUCAAUUAAGGUCCCAAAGAUAUAGCUAAGUGGAAAACGAUGUGAUUUUGCAUAAACAACCAGGAUGUUGGCUCAGAAGCAGCCAUUCAUUCAAAGAGUGCGUAAUAGCUCACUGGUCGAGUGAAGUUGCGCGGAAAAUUACCGGGGCUAAGCUAUACACCGAAAUUGCGGAUUUAUACUUGAAAGACAGUAUAAGUGGUAGAGGAGCAUUCUGUUGUAGGAUGAAGCAUGACCGUAAGGACAUGUGGACGAAGCAGAAGAGAGAAUGCUGGAAUAAGUAGCGAGAGGAUGGUGAGAAUCCAUCCCGUCGAAAGUCUAAGGUUUCCUAGGGAAGGUUCGUCCGCCUAGGGUAAGUCGGGACCUAAGGAGAGGCCGAAAGGCGUAUCUGAUGGAUAGCAGGUUGAAAUUCCUGCACUACGAAUAUACUUAAAAGAUUCAAGGGACGCAGAAGUGGAAGAUAACCAAGUAAGAGGAAAAGCUUGGCUCGCAAGAGGGAGUGAAAAUUAAAAGUAACGAAGUAUCAAGAAGCACGCUGACGAGAAAAGCUUGAAGAUAUUGUAUAUAAGUACCCGUACCGCAAACCGACACAGGUAGAUGAGGAGAGGAUCCUAAGACGAGCGGGAGAAGCAUUGUUAAGGAACUCGGCAAAUUGACCCCGUAACUUCGGAAUAAGGGGUGCUGAUGUAACAGUCAGUCGCAGAGAAAAGGCCCAAGCAACUGUUUAACAAAAACAUAGGUUUCUGCUAAAUCGAAAGAUGAAGUAUAGGAGCUGACGCCUGCCCGGUGCUGGAAGGUUAAGGGGAAAGGUUAGAUUAUAUCAAAGCUUUGAACUGAAGCCCCAGUGAACGGCGGCCGUAACUAUAACGGUCCUAAGGUAGCGAAAUUCCUUGUCAGGUAAGUUCUGACCCG